CCCCUCUCAGGAUCAUAACUGGAGAGUUUCCAGUCCUCUACCAGCCUUGGCUACAGGAGGGAGAGUCAAGCAGAGGCAUACCCCUUCCAUUCCUAGCCUGGUCAGUGACUAGCAAGUGGAAGACAAUCUGGUACAAGU
Small nucleolar RNA from Tachyglossus aculeatus (Australian echidna), 138 nucleotides. The record is from RefSeq and is a predicted model, not a curated record. Lineage: Eukaryota; Metazoa; Chordata; Mammalia; Monotremata; Tachyglossidae.